UAAAUAGAAAUAUAUCACCAGCAGCACAAGUGGACUACAGCCUCGGAAAUGUCCUCACCGUCCGGCUUCAUGGCAAGCAGCCUGGCUGUUGGCAAGAUGCGCCCAGCUCUGCUUCUGCUCGUGUGGAACCUUACAUUACCCUAACGCAGCUGGGGCACAAGCCGUCUGUGCUUAUACUAUUCUUCUUAAGCUUGGAGACACACUCACCUUGAGAUCUCUCCUCUUUUUCAUCUAGACACUGAUGAGGAAACUGAGGCCCCACGUGGUGAAGACAAUUUUUACCCGAAUCCACCCACAACAAGAGACCAUUUGGAUAAUGUACAUUAUGGGAAGAGAACAGAGUCUCAGUGAAGAUCAUGUUUCCCCAGCAACACAGGUGCCAGGAGUAGCUGGCUCUGGUCCCAGCCCAGACUCAGAAAUCCUGAGCCACCAGACCAUUUCUAGAUUAACAAGUAAGGUGACUUCUGAGCAACUAAUGUUUUCAUUGAGAUUUGAUGAUAAGCAGCAAAGCUCAAAUGAAAGUCCAGAGUUAGUGUUGGCAGGGCGAGAUGGCUCAUGCCUGUAAUCCCAGCACUUUGGGAGGCUGAGGUGGGAGGAUCACUUGAGCCCAGGAGUUUGAGACCAGCCCGAGCUAUAUAGUGAGACCCUAUCUCUACAAAAAAUACAAAAAUUAGCUGGGCGUAGUUGUGCGUGCCUGUAGUUCUAACUACUCAGGAGGCUGACAGGGGAUGAUCGCUUAAACCCAAGAUAUCGAAGCUGCAAUGAGUUGAGAUUGCACCACUGCACUCCAGCCUGGACGGCAGAAUGAAACCUUGUCUAAAACACACACACACACACACACACACACACACACACACACACACACACACACACACACACAGAGUAUUGAUUACAGCGCUAUACCAGGUUCUAGUGUUGAGUAAGGGACAGGGAGGAGCAAUCUGUAAAGAAAUAGAGUCUCACUGGAAUUUCAUUCUUCAUUAUUUCAUACCCUUCACUUUUUCUAGACGCUAACCCCAUAUGAUACUAAAAAGUAUCUGUAUUGCAUCAGACGACGUAUCUGUGAAGUCAGAGAAUUGUGCUUUAAGAAUCUCUCAAGAGGAGAACAUAUAUUGGGCUUUCAUAAUACCAAUAACAUUUUACAUCAUGCUUCAUUUACAAGCUAUUUUCACACAUAUCACUCUAUUUAAUCUUCACAACUUGGUGAGAUAAACAAAGUAUUAUUUUCAGUAUAAUUUUCUGGAUGAGAAAAUUAUAGCUUAGAGAAGUUGUGUCUUGCACGAGAUCACAAAGCUAAUUAAGUGGAAAGGUUACUUAACAUUAACUACAAACCAGAUCUUCCACCAAGCCUUUUCCCCACCACAGGGCUUUGCUGGUUGGGGAGAAAUUGUCAUUUGGUCCCAGAACACACUUGAAGGCCACUGCCUUAAGCAACCCUUUGAGUAACAAGGAAGAAAGUAUUCCCGUAGGUCAUAAAUACUGCUUUACUAACUUCCUAAAUGUCUUCAUAAAAUCUUAGGGAAAUGGUUAAUGGACACUAAUUUUAAACUUUAAAAUAAUAUAAUUAUUGCCCUUUCUUCCAACAAUUCCACAUCUGUGAAUUCUCCUAAGAGAACCAUUAUGGAUAUGAAAAAUAUUUAGCUACAAGAGGUUUUUUGAAGCACUGUUUAUAACAGAAAACAAAUAUAAAGCUCAGCAUUGGAAAAGUGGUAAAAUGGAUUAUGCUGAACUCAUGAAAAUAAUGUCAGGGUUUCCCACACUUUGAUUAUUCAUGUGGCAUCUUCAGAAUAUUGCCAUCUGCACUAAUAUUUACUUAACAUUUUCCUUUAAAUUAAUUCAUACAUUUUACUGGAAUAAAAUUAUUUAAAGGUAUUUUUUAUUAUUAACAUAAGUAGAAAUACAGUAUUAAUUGCCUUAAAUGUCAGAUGACAAUAAAAACAAAUACAAUGAAAACAAAGUAAUGUUAUUAAUGCAUGAAUUUGGUCCCAAUACCUUGAAGAAAACAUAUGACUGAUUUAAUAAAAUCACAAGUAAUCCCUUUUUUUGCCAUCACAAACUUCACCUUUCUGCAUUAAAAAAUCUCUUUUUUCACCUCUGAUCUAUAAAAGGUUCAAUGGAAAAAAGAUAUGCAGUGUGUGUCUGACCCCAAAUCACAGUUAGAUAUAUUUAUGCAUA
This 2175-nucleotide long non-coding RNA is filed under the name Homo sapiens (human). RNAcentral's name for it is "HSALNT0138060". Lineage: Eukaryota; Metazoa; Chordata; Mammalia; Primates; Hominidae. The record is from RNAcentral.